GACGAACGCUGGCGGCGUGCUUAACACAUGCAAGUCGAACGGAAAGGCCCUGCUUUUGUGGGGUGCUCGAGUGGCGAACGGGUGAGUAACACGUGAGUAACCUGCCCUUGACUUUGGGAUAACUUCAGGAAACUGGGGCUAAUACCGGAUAGGAGCUCCUGCUGCAUGGGGGGGGUGGGAAAGUUUCGGCGGUUGGGGAUGGACUCGCGGCUUAUCAGCUUGUUGGGGGGGGAGUGGCUUACCAAGGCGUUGACGGGUAGCCGGCCUGGGAGGGUGACCGGCCCCAUUGGUCCUGCGAUACGCACCAGACUCCUACGUGAGGCAGCAGUGGGGAAUCUUGCACAGUGGGCGGAAGCCUGAUGCAGCAACGCCGCGUUCGGGAUGACCGCCUUCGGGUUGUAAACCGCUUUCGCCUGUGACGAAGCGUGAGUGACGGUAAUGGGUAAAGAAGCACCGGCUAACUACGUG
Molecule: ribosomal RNA, 468 nt
Filed under: uncultured bacterium
Lineage: Bacteria
Description: partial 16S ribosomal RNA
Rfam family: Bacterial small subunit ribosomal RNA
Source: RNAcentral